AUUGAACGCUGGCGGCAGGCCUAACACAUGCAAGUCGAACGAGUGGCGGACGGGUGAGUAAUGUCUGGGAAACUGCCCGAUGGAGGGGGAUAACUACUGGAAACGGUAGCUAAUACCGCAUACCAUCGGAUGUGCCCAGAUGGGAUUAGCUUGUAGGGGAGGUAACGGCGCACCUAGGCGAGGAUCCCUAGCUGGUCUGAGAGGAUGACCAGCACAACGGGAACGGAGACACGGGCCAGAUUCGGACGCGAGGCAGCAGUUGGGAAUAUGGCACAAGGGGGGAAAGCCUGAUGCAGCCAUGCCGCGUGUAUGAAGAAGGCCUUCGGGGUGUAAAGUACUUUCAGCGGGGAGGCGUUACCCGCAGAAGAAGCACCGGCUAACUCCGUGCCAGCAGCCGCGGUAAUAC
This 406-nucleotide ribosomal RNA is filed under the name uncultured bacterium. RNAcentral's name for it is "partial 16S ribosomal RNA". It matches the Rfam family "Bacterial small subunit ribosomal RNA", at positions 29 to 526 of the family's 1533-position model. The record is from RNAcentral.